UUUUGUGUCUCCCUCUCUCUCUGCCCUUCCCCCACUCUUACUCUCUCUCUCAAAAAUAAACAUUAAAAAAGAAAAUAAAGGGAGAAAGAGAUUCUCUUAAAACUCAGUAUUGGGGCACCUGGGUGGCUCAGUCGGUUGAGCAUCUGACUUUGGCUCAGGUCAUAAUCUCAAGGUUUUUGAGUUUGAGCCCUGCAUCAAGCUCGCCACUGCCAGCACGGAGCUCGCUUUGUAUCCUCUGUCUCCCUCUUGCUCUAUGCCCCUCUCCUGCUUGCGUUUUCUCAAAAAUAAGCAUUUAAAAAUAAAAAAGAGUAAAAAGACAGUGGAGACUACUGUUGGCUCAGAGAAUUCUCUAGGCUCCCCUUACAAUUACUACUUCAAACAUUCUCACUCAUGUCCUCAACGCUCAAGUGUUCUGCCACUUUCUACUUCUCUGCCCUUCACUUCCACAACUUUUCUUUGGUAUAGUCACCUGGCUUCAGAUUGGACUUCUGUCCAUGUUCAGCCCCCACCACUGCCACAACACAGACUUAGGCAAGGGAAGCCUUGCCCCCAAGCCCCAGGGGCUGCUUCUGGGAUUGGUUAUCACACAUUCAGUAUUCCUCAGUCGCUAGUCUGCUGCUCCCAGGCACUUCCCAAGCUUUUCUACUUCUGUGACCAUCACUUUCUUCCCUCUUUGGCCCCACCUCUACUUCUCCACAAUACACCCACACCUUCUGUACCCACCUGAAAUGAUAGUUUCUCCCUAAAGCCCUUCCUCAUUUUCCCACCCACGCCAAAGAAAAAAUGGUCUUCUCUUUUCAAUCAUUGGUCAUUUUCACUUUGAGACCGAAUUGACACACAUUAGUUUCAGGUGUACAACAUAAUGAUUCGAUAUUUAUAUAUUUUGUGAAAUGAUCAUCACAAUAAAGCUUGUUAAAUCCAUUAUUACACAUAGCUAUAAAAUAUUUUUCUUGUGAUAUGAACUUGUAAGACCUACUUUCUUAACUUUCAAAUGUACAUACGAUAUUAACUGAAGUCACCAAUGCUGUACAUUACAUCCCCAUGACUUAUUUAUAACUGGAAGCUUGUACAUCUUAAUCCCUUUCACCCAUUCUUGCCCAUGCCCCCACCCCUGCAACCACCGGUUUGUUCUCGGUAUUUACUAGUUUCGUUUCGUUUUUUUUAAUUCCCCUUUAAGAGAUCAUACACUAUUUGUCUUUCUCUGACUUGUUCCACUUAGCAUGCCCUCAAGGUCUAUCCAUAUGGUUGCAAAUGCCAUGAUAUCCUUUUUAUGGCUGAGUAAUAUUCCAUUAUGUGUGUGUGCAUACACACACCAUAUCUUCUUUAUCCAUUCAUCCAAUGAUGGACGCUUAGGUGGUUUCCAUAUCCUGGCUAUUGCAAUGAAUGUAUUGCAGUGAAUGUGAGGGUGCGUGUAUUUUUUUCGAGUUAGCAUUUCACCUUCUUUAGAUAAAUACACACAAGAUGGUGGUUCCAUCUUUAAAUUUCUGAGGAAUUUCCACACUGUUUUCUGUAAUGGCUGCACCAAUUUACAUUCCACAAACAGUGUAAGAGGGUUCCCGUUUCUCCACAUCCUCACCAACACGGUUGUUAACUGUCUUUUUGAUACCAGCUAUUCUAAAAGUUGUAAGGUGGUAUCUUGUUGUGGCUUAGGUCACAUUUCCCUGAUGAUCAGUGAUGUUGAACAUCUUUUCAUGUACCAAUUGACCAGCUAUACAGAUCUUCUUUGAAAAAAAUCUAUUUCUUCUAUUCAGAUCAUCUAUUCAGAUCAUCUGCUCAAUUUUAACUGAAUUGUUUGGGGGUUUUGCUACUGAGUUCUUUAUUUAUUUUGGAUAUUAAGCCCUUGUCAGAUAUCUGAUUUGCAAAUAUUUUCUCCCCUUUGGUAGGUUAUCUUUUCAUUUUGCAGAUGAUUCACUUUUUUAGAGUAAGUGCCAUAUGGUGCCUCGUAUUAUAUUCAUUAGUUUAUCUUUUUGCCUCAGCCGAACUCACCACUUACUUGCUGUUUGCCUCAAGUCAAUUAAUUCUCCAUGUUCUUUCUUCAUCCAGAAACCGGGGAUAAUAAUGAUGCAUAUCUCGGUCAUGCAGAGUAGAUUAAACUUGAGAAAAUGCAUCCAUGGCUUAAAACAGUGCCUGUGCACCCAAAUGCUACCUGCUCCCUAUCAUUUAUGUUUUAUCCCUCUCUUAAGGCUCAAAGUCUUACAUUUUAAUUGCUCAAAAACUACCACCUGAAUGUUAAUUUAGCCAUCCAAGAGGACAAUUAUUAAGGCCUAGCAAGAAAGAAAUUAGCGUUUUUUGAGGGCCCACCAUGUGCAACCCACAAUACAUAAAGUACUUUCUUUACCCCCUAUGUAGCUUGUAGUUCCCUCAUCUCUCUGAAUUAGGUAUUAUUCCUGAUUUACAGAUAAGGAUCAGAGAAAUUAAGCAUUUUGCCCAAAGUCAGAGAACUAAUCAGACUACAAAUGUUAUGUUCCUUCCCCUCAGCCCACUGCCUCUAUAAAGUGCAGUUCUCCCCAUUCAUGUAGCCCUGGGAUACAACAAUGAAUAAAUACCAGGCUCCCCCUGGCAAGUUCAUGGCUAGAGAACAAAUAGGCUGAGAUUUUCUAUCAGCUCUCAGGGAAGGACCGCAAGGAACCAGAAAUUUACAGAUGUUGUAUUUUCUCCAAAGACCUUACACUGAUAAAUGGAAGCAGUAACAGAAGGAGGCAAAGGAGAAACAGGGAGAGGAAGGAAGGACAAGGAAACUAUAAGCUGCAAGACAUGGCCAGGAAAUCACCAGAGGUUCACAGCCUGGAAGUGCUCCACCACUUUCCCCAGCCCGCCUCAGUUUAUUUAUUUUCUUAUGUCAUACUGGAAAAUUAAACUUCUCCCUUUUGAUGUUUACUCUGGAAAGUUCACAUACGAUUCAGGCAGGUAAUUCUGACAUGCAAAAAAACUCAAUUUAUUCUAAGUGACACAGAUAGUGAAAGAGGAAGGAGCUGAAUUAUCCAGACUAUUUCCCUAAAUCUCCCCCUGCAUUCUGCCCAUCUGGUUUCCUUGCAAAUUAUCCAGGUGAACCAUCUGUGCUUGUGACUUUAAACAAAAUUUUUCAAACCCAGUUACCAAAUUCUUCCAUUUAUAAUUUAACUAUUUUUAAAAAAUAUAUUCUCAAUUUUCCUUCCUGCAUAUCCCAGGUGAAGCAGGAUUAGGUCAACUCUAACAUCCUUAAGUAAAGCAACGUUAAAUCCAAAACAUACAUAACCUUAAUAUAUCAUCUUCCAUUGGCCGAUUUUACAACAAUGCUAAUUGCAAUUUUAAAAGAUGACGACAUCUUCUGGAUGAGCCACAGAAAGAAUAAUAUAUUUAGUCUACAAAUUCAUGGAAUACGGAACGACAAGCCAAGUGCACUUUAUCUCCACGGUCUUAUGAUUCCUUAAGCGAGACAGGCAUUUAGAGAACUUCAGAAAUAGUGAUGGGGGUAGCGUGCAGAUGGGGGAACACAGUUUCUUAAAAUGACGCAAUCUAGGUAAUGCUCUGACAACUGUUGCUCUAAACGGUAAGUGGAAAGGUCACAUGAGAAUAAAGAAAAAAUAAUACAAAAAGUAAUUUCCCAGCUAUUUUUUUAAGAUUUUAUUUUUUAAGUAAUCUCUACACCCAACAUGGGGUUCAAAUUUAUAAUCUUGAGAUCAGGAAUCUAACUUACAACCCUGAGAUCACGAGUCACAUGCUCUAUGGACUCAGCCAGCCAGGCACCCCUUCCCAGCUAUUUUAAAUCUUGUUUAGCUCUACUUGAAAAGAGGCUUAGAAAAUGUGGAUGACAGGGGCACGUGGGUGGCUCAGUCGAUUGAGCAUUCAAUUCUUGGAUUUUGGCUCAGGUCAUGAUCCCAGGGUCAUGGGAUGGAGCCCUGCAUGGGGCUUCACACUGAGUGUGGACCCUGCUUAAGAGUCUUGCUCUCUCUCCCUCUGUCCCUCUUCACCCCCCACCCAAAAUUUAAAAAAAAAAAAAAAAAAAAGUGUGGGAGGAAAAAAAAAAAAAAAAAGAAAAAAAGAAAAUGUUGAUGACACUCGAACUUUCAAGCUUGCCCUAAGCAAAAACAUACUUGUUAGUUUGGGUAAGGGGGAUAAGACAAUGUGUGAAUUCUGAAAUAUAGAAAUUUGCCCACAGCAGGAGCCACUAAGCCAGGACCCUUGGUGACAAGUCAUCUGCAGCAAUGAGCAGGACACGGAGAAAUGAAUUACCAGAGCCACAGAGGGCUGAGCAACAGCUUUGGAUUUCACUCUAGAUUUGGCAAGCAGCGAAACAAUGAAACAGUCAAUGACAAUACUGUCCACUGUAUAAAAUCAAGAAAUUAUGAAUCCCUUCUCUAAAUUUAGUAGCUAGACUCAUUCCUGUUUGACUUUUCAAGCCAGUUCAGCCCUAAUAGCAAGUAUAUAACAUAUGACUUCUAAAGCAGAAAAAGGAAAAAUAAUUCCCUCCCGUGAAAAUCAGAACUAUAUCCAGCCAAGUUCUUCUAGUUUUCCAAUGUGGAAAUACUUAGCGAUGGCUGUUCAAAUGCUUAGUCUAGAUCUAAGACACCGAAUGAAAUGAGAAAGAGAGAGAAAUGCAGGCACCGUUCAUUUCUGCAGCAAUGCCCUGAUUAAACAACAAGGCUUACAUUUACAGAACCACAUUAAAGGCUUCAAAAUCCCAUUUACUCUCUGUAGUGACAAAUAUGCUUCAACAACAACUUUCUGACUGUCGAAAGACAGCAGCUCAUGAGAAUUACUAAAAACACAAGCGUCCACAUGACUGUUCUGCUUUUACAUUGAGAAAAAACAAGGUGUUUUUGUUUUGUUACUUCUCGAAUUCAUUUUUCCUAUUCAUCUCACAGUUGAGUAUUUAGUUGAAGCACAGAUGAAAAAGGAGGACAAAGCCUGGGCAAAUUAUCCAAAUAAGAACAUGCUGUCUUCUGUUAAAGGCUUAUAAAAAUAAAUUUGGCUUAUAAACAGGAAUUCAAGGAGAUUUCCACACUGCCCUCUCAUUUUAUCUGAACCUGUUGAUUUUUCACUCAUUCCUACUCUUCUCCAAAUUCAUACAGAGUGGGGGAUGUUGAACAAAAAUUCCAACUAUUUCAUUGUAGUCCGGGUAAACACAAAAACAGGUUUCAAAUUUCAAAUCCAAAGAUCAUAUCGAACAUAACUUUUAAUUUUAAGAGACCAGUCCAGAUGGUACAUGAGGACCACUGCAGACACAAAAUUGGAACUAGUUUCCUAAGCGAAGCUAACAGCCCAUCUGGGGAAUAAUCAAGCAAUGAAUCUCAUUUAAACCCAAGGCACCUUGGAACAUAACUCUUCCUCUUUGGAUUAAGACAUUUCAUCCAACCUCUUGCCUAGAACAUCUUGGCGAGUUGUACUUUCCAUAAUCUGUAUCCCAAGAACUACUCAUCUCUAACUCUCGUGUGGGGUUGGCCACCUCGAGUGACACAGCACCAUGGCAACCUGCUUGAACAUACAGACAUUCCUGAGCCUGAAAGAACCCUCUAACUGCAAAUACAGUCUCAUCGGAAGAGGGCUUCUGCAGCACGGUCUUUCCUCCCUGAACCAAAGAAUUAGAAAGAAAUCUUCAAGAUUUUGUAAAAAGUAUAGCUUUGUGAGAACACAAAGUGAAAUUCAUCAGUGACACUCUAACAACAUUCUGGUUCAGCAGGACUAACUUGUUACUAUCAGAAAAUAAAAAAUUGUAUCUAUUCUUCAUAGUCAACUAAACUGAGAACAGGCAAGUUUUAAUUCUCAAGAGUAAACACACCAUUCCCGCGUAUUUAGCUUUGUAAAUCUCAGUAAAAUGGGUUUACACUCAUCCUUGAUUUGUAUUUCAAGUCACUUCAGCACACCUAUAACCACUACAUAAAAGGUAAUUCCUGCCAAACCUUACAGGGUAAACCUGUGAUAGAUAGCUAGACGGACAGAUGGACACACAGAUAGAUGGACAGACGGAUGAAUGGAUGAUAGAUUUAAAAUACAUUAUUUUCCAAAGGCAAAAAAACAACAUUUGUAAUAUAAACUAUUAACUGAACUGCAUAUUUCGUAGUGUAGAUCAGGUUGUCAUGCUUCAUUAGUAAUAUUUGUGUACAUAAAACUAGCCUUUUUUAGAGAACUACUUCCAUAUGUAUCUACUAUGCCUACGAAGGUUCCAACGGACUGUCCAAUAAAGCUGAAAUGGAAACAGACAAGCCAAGAAGCGGAACUGAUGUCACAGGCUGGUGCCACACUUCUCGCACAGAAGUGAGAAGUGGGGGCAUUAUCAUGGUGCAAGGCUGAGAUCGAAAGCCUCCAAAGCAGCACUGGGAACUCAAUACUAAUAAGGAGUAUUCAAAAAUGAUCCACUCGUGGUUUGCUACUUGGAAAAAAAUAAAUUUAGACCUCCAAAUCCAACUCUACACCAAAAUAAAUUCCAGAUGAGUAAAAGUUAAUUCUCUAAAAAAGUAAGUUUCCAAAACUAAAGUCAAGUUGUAGAUUUUUGGAUUCAAUCUUGAGCAAGGACACCCUAAAUUUUUAAAUGACAAAAAUGAUCAAAGUUUAAAUUUUUUGAUUAUGUAGGAAGGUUAAACUUCCGCAAGUCUAAAAUGUUGCUCUUAAAAGGGAAGUGGGAAAGACAGUCAGCAAUUAAAUCAGUUAUCUGUUACAGGGGUUGGCACACUGUGACCCAGAAGCCAAAUCCAGCCUUCUCCCCAUUUUUGCACAAUCUGCGAGCUAAGUGGUUGAAAAAAAUCAAGAGGAAGAUUUCAGGACAUGUAAAAACUAUAUGAAAUCCCCAUUUCAGUGGCCACAUUAGAGAACAGCCACACUUACUCGCUUGCCUAUUGUCUGGGGCUGCUUUUACCCUAUGAUGGCAGGGCUGAGUAGUUGGGACAGAAACUGCAUGGCCCACAAAGCCUAAAGUAAUAACUGUUUGGCCCUUCCC
This is a long non-coding RNA of Leopardus geoffroyi (Geoffroy's cat), 6913 nucleotides long. RefSeq lists it as uncharacterized. NCBI's taxonomy places the organism in Eukaryota, Metazoa, Chordata, Mammalia, Carnivora, Felidae. The transcript has 2 exons. The record is from RefSeq and is a predicted model, not a curated record.